GAUGAAGAACGCAGCGAAAUGCGAUACUUGGUGUGAAUUGCAGAAUCCCGUGAACCAUCGAGUCUUUGAACGCAAGUUGCGCCCGAAGCCAUUAGGCCGAGGGCACGCCUGCCUGGGCGUCACACGUCGUUGCCCCCCCAUCUACUCCUUCGGGAUUGCGGGGGGCGGAUGAUGGCCUCCCGUGCGCCUCGUCGCGCGGUUGGCAUAAAUGCCAAGUCCUCGGCGACACACGCCACGACAAUCGGUGGUUGCGAAACCUCGGUUGCCCGUCGUGUGCGGUCGUCGCGCAUCGAGGGCUCGAAAAAAUUGCCGGGCUCCGGCUCGGCUUUCAACGCGACCCCAGGUCAGGCGGGGUUACCCGCUGAAUUUAAGCAUAUCAAUAAGCGGAGA
This 390-nucleotide unclassified non-coding RNA is filed under the name soil metagenome. Its description in RNAcentral is "partial contains 5.8S ribosomal RNA, internal transcribed spacer 2, and large subunit ribosomal RNA". The stretch from base 1 to 122 matches the Rfam family "5.8S ribosomal RNA", at positions 35 to 154 of the family's 154-position model. The record is from RNAcentral.